Molecule: ribosomal RNA, 460 nt
Filed under: uncultured bacterium
Lineage: Bacteria
Description: partial 16S ribosomal RNA
Rfam family: Bacterial small subunit ribosomal RNA
Source: RNAcentral
CCUACGGGAGGCAGCAGUGAGGAAUAUUGGUCAAUGGACGAGAGUCUGAACCAGCCAAGUAGCGUGAAGGAUGACUGCCCUAUGGGUUGUAAACUUCUUUUAUAUGGGAAUAAAAUGUUCCACGUGUGGGAUUUUGUAUGUACCAUAUGAAUAAGGAUCGGCUAACUCCGUGCCAGCAGCCGCGGUAAUACGGAGGAUCCGAGCGUUAUCCGGAUUUAUUGGGUUUAAAGGGAGCGUAGGUGGAUUGUUAAGUCAGUUGUGAAAGUUUGCGGCUCAACCGUAGAAUUGCAGUUGAAACUGGCAGUCUUGAGUACAGUAGAGGUAGGCGGAAUGCGUGGUGUAGCGGUGAAAUGCUUAGAUAUCACGAAGAACUCCGAUUGCGAAGGCAGUUCACUGGACUGCAACUGACACUGAGGCUCGAAAGUGUGGGUAUCAAACAGGAUUAGAUACCCGAGUAGUC